GAUGAAGAACGUAGCGAAAUGCGAUAAGUAAUGUGAAUUGCAGAAUUCAGUGAAUCAUCGAAUCUUUGAACGCACAUUGCGCCCGCCAGUAUUCUGGCGGGCAUGCCUGUUCGAGCGUCAUUACAACCCUCAGGCCCCGGGCCUGGCGUUGGGGAUCGGCGGAGCCCCCCGUGGGCACACGCCGUCCCCCAAAUACAGUGGCGGUCCCGCCGCAGCUUCCAUCGCGUAGUAGCUAACACCUCGCGACUGGAGAGCGGCGCGGCCACGCCGUAAAACACCCAACUCUUCUGAAGUUGACCUCGAAUCAGGUAGGAAUACCCGCUGAACUUAAGCAUAUCAAUAAGCGGAGGA
Molecule: unclassified non-coding RNA, 351 nt
Filed under: soil metagenome
Description: partial contains 5.8S ribosomal RNA, internal transcribed spacer 2, and large subunit ribosomal RNA
Rfam family: 5.8S ribosomal RNA (bases 1-120)
Source: RNAcentral